GAACUGGAGAUUACAUCACUAUCACAGAAACGUCCGCUGAACGGAUGAUAGCCAGAUCCUCUGAAUAGGUACUCUCAAAUUCAACCCGGGAAUCCGAAAUAAACGGAACCCGCUGAUAAACCACGGACAGAACUCCGGCGUCCCAGAAAUAAAUGUCCAUAAUUCACAGUCACCACUAGUACCAAGAGUCACCAACAAGUCACCAAUAAGUCAGCAACAGUACCUGUAAU
Molecule: long non-coding RNA, 230 nt
Filed under: Lathyrus oleraceus (garden pea)
Lineage: Eukaryota; Viridiplantae; Streptophyta; Magnoliopsida; Fabales; Fabaceae
Description: Pisum sativum (pea) long non-coding RNA (PSAT_LNC019975)
Source: RNAcentral